Molecule: long non-coding RNA, 529 nt
Organism: Syzygium oleosum
Lineage: Eukaryota; Viridiplantae; Streptophyta; Magnoliopsida; Myrtales; Myrtaceae
Exons: 2
Source: RefSeq, a predicted model, not a curated record
GAUUCAGCAUCUGUGGCAAAAACAUUUCUAACCUCCGAUGCAGUAGUGGUCGACAUUAAGGAAGUAGAGCAGCCCGUACAGAUGCCGAUGAGAAAGCCUCUUAGAAAGCCAGGUAUUCCCCGAGCAGGCAUGCCACUUAUUGUGUAGGGAUAAAAGCUGUUCCAGACUCCGGGUUGCUCUUAAAUGCUCAAAGUACCGCGCCUUCACAAGGAGAUGCCCUUUUUCCUUGUAGUACUCCAACGCUAGUAACAUACUAGUCAUACAACUGCUCUUGGUUUUGCUCGAGUUAGAAGCUAAUACGGGAAACUUGUCAACAAAGCUUUGUAUCUACAGUGGAGCAGAUCUCAAAGGAGAGAUGGUCAGUAUGCGGGUUCUUACCUCGGAAGAGAGUGAUCGAAUGCCUAUAUAUUACCAGAUGCGGAGAGACUGCAAAGUGAUAGAAGAAAGACAACUCAUUGUGACCUGAUGCAGAUUCAUAGGAAAUGUCGACUUCAAACUCUACUUUUUCAGGGUCGGAAUACAUCUUUCC